This 323-nucleotide ribosomal RNA is filed under the name Draculoides gnophicola. RNAcentral's name for it is "eukaryotic LSU rRNA". The stretch from base 1 to 105 matches the Rfam family "5.8S ribosomal RNA", at positions 50 to 154 of the family's 154-position model. The record is from RNAcentral. Lineage: Eukaryota; Metazoa; Arthropoda; Arachnida; Schizomida; Hubbardiidae.
CAGCUGCGAGACUUGGUGUGAAUUGCAGGACACAUUGAGCACUGAUUUUUCGAACGCACAUUGCGGCCUCGGGUCCUUCCCGGGGCCUCGCCUGUCUGAGGGUCGGAUGUGAAAUAUGUAAGGGUCGCUUUUGUGCGUUCCCACGUGGCAGCAUCGGUGGCACACCUCGCCACCGUCUGCCGAAGAGAAACGUCCUCUUGGUCGGGGAGUUGCCGUGUGCAAGUCUGAGAGCUUAGCAGGCACGGCAUUCCAAGUUACCAGGACGAGAAGAUGAACUGCAAGAUGUCGACCUCAGAUCAGACGAGACAACCCGCUGAAUUUAA